ACAGGUCUUCGGAUGCUGACGAGUGGCGAACGGGUGAGUAAUACAUCGGAACGUGCCCAGUAAUGGGGGAUAGCUCGGCGAAAGCCGGAUUAAUACCGCAUACGCCCUGAGGGGGAAAGUGGGGGACCGCAAGGCCUCACGUUAUUGGAGCGGCCGAUGGCUGAUUAGCUAGUUGGUAGGGUAAAGGCCUACCAAGGCGACGAUCAGUAGCUGGUCUGAGAGGACGAUCAGCCACACUGGGACUGAGACACGGCCCAGACUCCUACGGGAGGCAGCAGUGGGGAAUUUUGGACAAUGGGGGAAACCCUGAUCCAGCAAUGCCGCGUGUGCGAAGAAGGCCUUCGGGUUGUAAAGCACUUUUGUCAGGGAAGAAAUCCUUUGGGCUAAUACCCUAGGGGGAUGACGGUACCUGAAGAAUAAGCACCGGCUAACUACGUGCCAGCAGCCGCGGUAAUACGUAGGGUGCAAGCGUUAAUCGGAAUUACUGGGCGUAAAGCGUGCGCAGGCGGUUGUGUAAGACAGGUGUGAAAUCCCCGGGCUUAACCUGGGAAUUGCAUUUGUGACUGCACGACUAGAGUGUGUCAGAGGGGGGUGGAAUUCCACGUGUAGCAGUGAAAUGCGUAGAUAUGUGGAGGAACACCAAUGGCGAAGGCAGCCCCCUGGGAUAACACUGACGCUCAUGCACGAAAGCGUGGGGAACAAACAGGAUUAGAUACCCUGGUAGUCCACGCCCUAAACGAUGUCAACUAGUUGUUGGGGAUUUACUUCCUUGGUAACGUAGCUAACGCGUGAAGUUGACCGCCUGGGGAGUACGGC
Molecule: ribosomal RNA, 816 nt
Filed under: uncultured beta proteobacterium
Lineage: Bacteria; Pseudomonadati; Pseudomonadota; Betaproteobacteria
Description: bacterial SSU rRNA
Rfam family: Bacterial small subunit ribosomal RNA
Source: RNAcentral